This is a long non-coding RNA of Gasterosteus aculeatus aculeatus (three-spined stickleback), 430 nucleotides long. The record is from Ensembl. NCBI's taxonomy places the organism in Eukaryota, Metazoa, Chordata, Actinopteri, Perciformes, Gasterosteidae.
AAAGUGAAUCCUAUUUCAUUAUCAAAACUCCAAAACCUUUGACACAUUUUAAAAGAUUAGGAAGAGGACAUACAGUUGCUUACGGCCAUACCUCUCUGGCUCCGCCUGAUCUCGUCUGAUCUCAGAAGCUAAGCAGAGUAGGGCCUGGUUAGUACUUGGAUGGAAGACCGCCUGGGAAUCCCAUGUGCCGUAAGCUUUUUCAUUUCUAUCUGUAAAAGACACAGAGAAGGCCUUAGAAAGUGACUCCAUUUCAUUGUCAAAACUCCAAAACCUUUGACACAUUUUAAAAGAUUAGGAAGAGGACAUACAGUUGCUUACGGCCAUACCUCUCUGGCUCCGCCUGAUCUCGUCUGAUCUCAGAAGCUAAGCAGAGUAGGGCCUGGUUAGUACUUGGAUGGAAGACCGCCUGGGAAUCCCAGGUGCCGUAAGC